GUCCUAGUAGCUUAAACUAAAGCACUGGUCUUGUAAACCAAAAAUGAGAAAACUAUCUCCAAGGACA
This 67-nucleotide transfer RNA is filed under the name Takydromus wolteri (mountain grass lizard). RNAcentral describes it as "tRNA-Thr". It matches the Rfam family "tRNA". From Rfam's summary of the family: Transfer RNA (tRNA) molecules are approximately 80 nucleotides in length. Their secondary structure includes four short double-helical elements and three loops (D, anti-codon, and T loops). The record is from RNAcentral. Lineage: Eukaryota; Metazoa; Chordata; Lepidosauria; Squamata; Lacertidae.